CAGAGAAUAGUUUAAUAUAGAAUAUUAAUUUUGGAGAUUAAAGGUGAACUUUUAGGUUUUUCUCUGA
This 67-nucleotide transfer RNA is filed under the name Asiagomphus septimus. RNAcentral describes it as "tRNA-Pro". Lineage: Eukaryota; Metazoa; Arthropoda; Insecta; Odonata; Aeshnidae. The record is from RNAcentral.